AAACCUCAAGACUUCUGUAAUAUGCUGCUCAAACAGUUUCACUUUUCUUUCUACUGCCUGUCCUUCCCUUCUCACAUUUAUCUCCAGACUUCUCCUUGUUCAGAUCUAUUCUGCCCCCAACAAUCUUCUGUUCAUUGAACUUAUUGGAACUUGGCACUUUUAGAGAGAUGAGGGGAUGCAGAGAGGAAG
Molecule: non-coding RNA, 189 nt
Organism: Chelonoidis abingdonii (Abingdon island giant tortoise)
Lineage: Eukaryota; Metazoa; Chordata; Testudines; Testudinidae
Source: RefSeq, a predicted model, not a curated record